GUAUAAUGACGUAAAUGACUGCAAAACAUAUCAUAAUAAGAUGUUUGUUAUUUCAAAAUAAACACACUAAUAUUAUUAUUAUUUCAUGACAAUGAAACAACGAAUGUGUACUUAUCUGGUUCAGAUAACGAUAAAAAAUAAGGGAUAUGCUGAAAGAUGGCCAACAAUUAAAUCAAAAGUGGUAUGGAGGUAUGGUCUUCAGAAAAAAUUAAAAAAAUGUUAGUCAACUGUCAGUUUUGCCAAUGCAAAACUACCAUAAUUAUGGUUGUUAAUCAAAAAUUUAUAUUAGAUGAUUCAAAAAAACGUAUUACGGAAUCAGAAGACCAGUUGGCACAAAAAACAGAAGAAGUUCAAUUAUAUAAUAAUGCAAUAGUGGCACUGGAGAAGCAAAAGUUUGAGCUCAUCCGAGAAUUACAUGGAGUCAAACAAGAACUAUUGACAUUCGAUUCUUUAAAAUGUGUUGAAUUUUAAGAAAAAGAAUAAUUAUGCAAUCAGGAUCAAACCAAGGACACAGCAAAUGAUGUUACACAAAAUAACUU
Long non-coding RNA from Chelonus insularis, 539 nucleotides. RefSeq lists it as uncharacterized. Lineage: Eukaryota; Metazoa; Arthropoda; Insecta; Hymenoptera; Braconidae. The record is from RefSeq and is a predicted model, not a curated record. The transcript is spliced from 3 exons.